Molecule: ribosomal RNA, 230 nt
Filed under: uncultured bacterium
Lineage: Bacteria
Description: partial 16S ribosomal RNA
Rfam family: Bacterial small subunit ribosomal RNA
Source: RNAcentral
UACGUAGGUGACCAGCGUUGUCCGGAUUUACUGGGCGUAAAGAGCGCGCAGGCGGUCGUUCAAGUCGAGUGUGAAAGCCCCCGGCUCAACUGGGGAGGGUCAUUCGAUACUGAUCGACUCGAAGGCAGGAGAGGGAAGCGGAAUUCCCGGUGUAGUGGUGAAAUGCGUAGAUAUCGGGAGGAACACCAGUGGCGAAAGGCGGCUUCCUGGCCUGGUUCUUGACCGCUGAG